UAGGUCACCCCAGAACUUGGCGGGUGUCUGUAUAGCUUGCUUUGAUGGCGAUCUAUGUACUCAGUUUUGGUGGGAAUACAUUUUCUGAACAUCACGCGCCAAUGUAAAAUGCUGUUUUUUUAUAUAAAUAUGAACUUUAUCGAACAAAACAUACAUGUAUUGUGUAACAUGAUGUCCUAGGAGUGUCAUCUGAUGAAGAUCGUCAAAGUUUAGUGCUUCAUUUAGCUGUGUUUUGGGUUUUUGUGACAUAUAUCCUUGCUUGGAAAAUGGCUGUGUGGUUAUUUUUGUCUAUGUACUCUCCUAACAUAAUCUAAUGUUUUGCUUUCACUGUAAAGCCUUUUUGAAAUCGGACAAUGUGGUUACAUUAAGGAGAAGUGUAUCUUUAAAAUGGUGUAAAAUAGUCGUAUGUUUGAGAAAUUGAAAUUAUGAUAUUUUUGCUGUUUUGUAUUAAGCGCCAUGCUAUUUCACUGGCUGUUGAAUAGUGUGGGACGAUCACGUCCCACCUAGCCCAAAGAAGUUAAUGCUCUUUUUCUGAGCAGAAAUGGCCUCAGGAUAACCCCCAUGAUGUGUCAUGCUGUCAAAUUAUGUUAAGGAGCCCGUCUUGUUGAUCCUUGGUUUUGACAGGGGUCUCAGCACGGGACAUUUCCCUGUGUACCAGCCUGUACCAUGACUACAAGGUGCUGCUUCAGAUGGGCCUUCACUUCCUCUUCCUCCAGGGCACCAAAGGCAGGAGGCUACCUCCUCCACCUUCUCAGAACCCCAGGCUACCUCCUCCACCUCCUCAGAACCCCAGGCUACCUCCUCCACCUCCUCAGAACCCCAGGCUACCUCCUCCACCUCCUCAGAACCCCAGGCUACCUCCUCCACCUCCUCAGAACCCCAGGCUACCUCCUCCACCUCCUCAGAACCCCAGGCUACCUCCUCCACCUCCUCAGAACCCCAGGCUACCUCCUCCACCUCCUCAGAACCCCAGGCUCAGAGCUCCAUCUGUCAGGCUGCCGCUCUAAGCGAGCCCCCUACCUCAUUGUCGGGGCCGUCGGGCCUUGUGUCUGUACUGGUGUCCAGCCUGCGUCAACGCCACGCCGUUACAGCCCACGUGUGCUCGCUGGAUGGCGCCGACUUUGUGGUCAGUAA
RNAcentral lists this long non-coding RNA (1134 nucleotides) under Salmo trutta (river trout). Its description in RNAcentral is "lncRNA (ENSSTUG00000019969.1)". Lineage: Eukaryota; Metazoa; Chordata; Actinopteri; Salmoniformes; Salmonidae. The record is from RNAcentral.